This is a small nuclear RNA of Hevea brasiliensis (rubber tree), 105 nucleotides long. Lineage: Eukaryota; Viridiplantae; Streptophyta; Magnoliopsida; Malpighiales; Euphorbiaceae. The record is from RefSeq and is a predicted model, not a curated record.
GUGCCCAACAGCGACAUCCGAUAAAAUUGGAACGAUACAGAGAAGAUUAGCAUGGCCCCUGCGCAAGGAUGAUACGCACAAAUCGGAAAUGGGAAGAAAAGAUUU